RNAcentral lists this ribosomal RNA (253 nucleotides) under uncultured bacterium. RNAcentral describes it as "partial 16S ribosomal RNA". It matches the Rfam family "Bacterial small subunit ribosomal RNA", at positions 524 to 776 of the family's 1533-position model. The record is from RNAcentral.
UACGUAGGGUGCGAGCGUUGUCCGGAAUUAUUGGGCGUAAAGGGCUCGUAGGCGGUUUGUCGCGUCGGGAGUGAAAACCAUGGGCUUAACUCAUGGCUUGCUUCCGAUACGGGCAGACUAGAGGCAUGCAGGGGAGAACGGAAUUCCUGGUGUAGCGGUGAAUGACGCAGAUAUCAGGAGGAACACCGGUGGCGAAGGCGGUUCUCUGGGCAUGUCCUGACGCUGAGGAGCGAAAGUGUGGGGAGCGAACAGG